CGGCAAUGGAGGAAACUCUGACCGAGCAACGCCGCGUGAAUGACGAAGUACUUCGGUAUGUAAAGUUCUUUUAUCGAGGAAGAAAAGCAAAUGGCGAACCAUUUGUUUGCCGGUACUUGAUGAAUAAGCCCCGGCUAAUUAUGUGCCAGCAGCCGCGGUAAGACAUAAGGGGCAAGUGUUAUCCGGAAUUAUUGGGCGUAAAGGGUGCGUAGGCGGUCUAGUAAGUCAGUGGUGUAAUGGCAACGCUUAACGUUGUCCGGCUAUUGAAACUGCUAAACUUGAGUUAGAUAGAGGCGAGUGGAAUUCCAUGUGUAGCGGUAAAAUGCGUAAAUAUAUGGAGGAACACCAGAGGCGUAGGCGGCUCGCUGGGUCUUAACUGACGCUGAGGCACGAAAGCGUGGGGAGCAAACAGGAUUAGAUACCCUGGUAGUCCACGCCGUAAACGAUGAGUACUAAGUGUCGGGUUAAACCGGUACCGAAGUUAACACAUUAAGUACUCCGCCUGAGUAGUACGUACGCAAGUAUGAAACUUAAAGGAAUUGACGGGACUCCGCACAAGCGGUGGAUCAUGUUGUUUAAUUCGAAGAUACCCGAAAAACCUUACCAGGUCUUGACAUGUUUUUGCAAAAUGAUAGUAAUAUCGUGGAGGUUACCAGAAACACAGGUGGUGCAUGGUUGUCGUCAGCUCGUGUCGUGAGAUGUUAGGUUAAGUCCUAAAACGAGCGAAACCCUUAUCGUUAGUUGCCAGCACGUUAUGGUGGGGACUUUAACGAGACUGCCAAUGAUAAAUUGGAGGAAGGUGAGGAUCACGUCAAAUCAGCAUGCCCCUUAUGACCUGGGCUACAAACGUGAUACAAUGGCUGUUACAAAGAGUAGCUGAA
RNAcentral lists this ribosomal RNA (881 nucleotides) under Empoasca papaya phytoplasma. RNAcentral describes it as "bacterial SSU rRNA". It matches the Rfam family "Bacterial small subunit ribosomal RNA", at positions 366 to 1254 of the family's 1533-position model. Lineage: Bacteria; Bacillati; Mycoplasmatota; Mollicutes; Acholeplasmatales; Acholeplasmataceae. The record is from RNAcentral.